AUUGAACGCUGGCGGCAGGCCUAACACAUGCAAGUCGAACGGUAACAGGAAGAAGCUUGCUUCUUUGCUGACGAGUGGCGGACGGGUGAGUAAUGUCUGGGAAACUGCCUGAUGGAGGGGGAUAACUACUGGAAACGGUAGCUAAUACCGCAUAAUGUCGCAAGACCAAAGAGGGGGACCUUCGGGCCUCUUGCCAUCGGAUGUGCCCAGAUGGGAUUAGCUAGUAGGUGGGGUAACGGCUCACCUAGGCGACGAUCCCUAGCUGGUCUGAGAGGAUGACCAGCCACACUGGAACUGAGACACGGUCCAGACUCCUACGGGAGGCAGCAGUGGGGAAUAUUGCACAAUGGGCGCAAGCCUGAUGCAGCGAUGCCGCGUGUAUGAAGAAGGCCUUCGGGUUGUAAAGUACUUUCAGCGGGGAGGAAGGGAGUAAAGUUAAUACCUUGGCUCAUUGACGUUACCCGCAGAAGGAGCACCGGCUAACUCCGUG
This 490-nucleotide ribosomal RNA is filed under the name uncultured bacterium. RNAcentral's name for it is "partial 16S ribosomal RNA". It matches the Rfam family "Bacterial small subunit ribosomal RNA", at positions 30 to 507 of the family's 1533-position model. The record is from RNAcentral.